This 385-nucleotide long non-coding RNA is filed under the name Rhinopithecus bieti (black snub-nosed monkey). RNAcentral describes it as "lncRNA (ENSRBIG00000046631.1)". The record is from RNAcentral. Lineage: Eukaryota; Metazoa; Chordata; Mammalia; Primates; Cercopithecidae.
UAAAGAUUAGAAUCAGAGAACUGGUUUGUUUAUUAUUGUUAGAGAUAAAAGGUGACUUUCAGAAAGAAAAUAGGCAGUGCAAAGGUAGUGAGGGCCAAAGAAACAUCAGGGUUCCUCAUGCUUUGAGAAAAUACAAUGUUCUGCAGGGAUCCUGACAUUUAAAUAAGCAAUUUCAAGCAACUUUAAUGUGCUUGGCUUGCAGAUUGCCGGAGGCUGGAAAGUAAGACAAAUAACAGCUCACCUGCCUGGGUUAUUGGAGCAACAAGAAACUUUCAGAGCAAUCCUCCAUUUGCCAGGAGACUGCUUCUGUCGAUGACAGCACUGGGUUUCCACCCCAUUCUGGCAUCUGGAUUAUAUGGGCUAAGAGGAGGCACCAGCAGGUGAG